GGAUGCGAUCAUACCAGCACUAAAACGCCGGAUCCCAUCAGAACUCCGAAGUUAAGCGUGCUUGGGCGAGAGUAGUACUAGGAUGGGUGACCUCCUGGGAAGUCCUCGUGUUGCAUUCC
Molecule: ribosomal RNA, 119 nt
Filed under: Triticum aestivum (bread wheat)
Lineage: Eukaryota; Viridiplantae; Streptophyta; Magnoliopsida; Poales; Poaceae
Source: RNAcentral